CUGAGAGGAUGACCAGCCACACUGGAACUGAGACACGGUCCAGACUCCUACGGGAGGCAGCAGUGGGGAAUAUUGCACAAUGGGCGCAAGCCUGAUGCAGCCAUGCCGCGUGUAUGAAGAAGGCCUUCGGGUUGUAAAGUACUUUCAGCGGGGAGGAAGGGAGUAAAGUUAAUACCUUUGCUCAUUGACGUUACCCGCAGAAGAAGCACCGGCUAACUCCGUGCCAGCAGCCGCGGUAAUACGGAGGGUGCAAGCGUUAAUCGGAAUUACUGGGCGUAAAGCGCACGCAGGCGGUUUGUUAAGUCAGAUGUGAAAUCCCCGGGCUCAACCUGGGAACUGCAUCUGAUACUGGCAAGCUUGAGUCUCGUAGAGGGGGGUAGAAUUCCAGGUGUAGCGGUGAAAUGCGUAGAGAUCUGGAGGAAUAUCGGUGGCGAAGGCGGCCCCCU
RNAcentral lists this ribosomal RNA (446 nucleotides) under Shigella sonnei. Its description in RNAcentral is "bacterial SSU rRNA". It matches the Rfam family "Bacterial small subunit ribosomal RNA", at positions 292 to 730 of the family's 1533-position model. Lineage: Bacteria; Pseudomonadati; Pseudomonadota; Gammaproteobacteria; Enterobacterales; Enterobacteriaceae. The record is from RNAcentral.